AUUUACAUUGCCAAAUUAUCAAAAACAUCUAUCAUCUCAUAAUUUACAUUGUUUAUAUUAACACAUCGGAGAUUUUGGGAACGAAGAUACCAAUUGAUCUCUUGUGAAGUCUCGCCAUGUCGAUUGUGGAGAUGAGAGUGCACGUGGAUUGUCCCGGAUGUGAAAGAAAAAUAACAAAAGCCCUUUCAAAAUUAGAUGGUGUGGACAGCAUAGACAUAGAUAUGGACAUGCAAAAGGUGACAGUCACAGGGUGGGCAGA
Non-coding RNA from Salvia hispanica, 259 nucleotides. NCBI's taxonomy places the organism in Eukaryota, Viridiplantae, Streptophyta, Magnoliopsida, Lamiales, Lamiaceae. The record is from RefSeq and is a predicted model, not a curated record.